This 465-nucleotide ribosomal RNA is filed under the name Vreelandella stevensii. Its description in RNAcentral is "partial 16S ribosomal RNA". It matches the Rfam family "Bacterial small subunit ribosomal RNA", at positions 338 to 795 of the family's 1533-position model. The record is from RNAcentral. Lineage: Bacteria; Pseudomonadati; Pseudomonadota; Gammaproteobacteria; Oceanospirillales; Halomonadaceae.
CCUACGGGGGGCAGCAGUGGGGAAUAUUGGACAAUGGGGGGAACCCUGAUCCAGCCAUGCCGCGUGUGUGAAGAAGGCCCUCGGGUUGUAAAGCACUUUCAGUGAGGAAGAACGCCUGGUGGUUAAUACCCAUCAGGAAAGACAUCACUCACAGAAGAAGCACCGGCUAACUCCGUGCCAGCAGCCGCGGUAAUACGGAGGGUGCGAGCGUUAAUCGGAAUUACUGGGCGUAAAGCGCGCGUAGGUGGCUUGAUAAGCCGGUUGUGAAAGCCCCGGGCUCAACCUGGGAACGGCAUCCGGAACUGUCAAGCUAGAGUGCAGGAGAGGAAGGUAGAAUUCCCGGUGUAGCGGUGAAAUGCGUAGAGAUUGGGAGGAAUACCAGUGGCGAAGGCGGCCUUCUGGACUGACACUGACACUGAGGUGCGAAAGCGUGGGUAGCAAACAGGAUUAGAUACCCCGGUAGUC